GACAGAGGAUGCAAGCGUUAUCCGGAAUGAUUGGGGCGUAAAGCGUCUGUACGGUGGCUUUUUAAGUCCGCCGUCAAAAUCCCAUGGGCUCAAACCCUGGACAGGCGGUGGAAACUACCAAGCUGGAGGUACGGUAGGGGCAGAGGGAAUUUCCGGUGGAGCGGUGAAAUGCGUAGAGAUCGGAAAGAACACCAACGGCGAAAGCAACUCUGCUGGGCCGACACUGACACUGAGAGACGAAAGCUAGGGGAGCGAAUGGG
RNAcentral lists this ribosomal RNA (260 nucleotides) under uncultured bacterium. Its description in RNAcentral is "partial 16S ribosomal RNA". It matches the Rfam family "Bacterial small subunit ribosomal RNA", at positions 524 to 776 of the family's 1533-position model. The record is from RNAcentral.